RNAcentral lists this long non-coding RNA (1475 nucleotides) under Brassica rapa (field mustard). Its description in RNAcentral is "long non-coding RNA (BRAP_LNC007686)". Lineage: Eukaryota; Viridiplantae; Streptophyta; Magnoliopsida; Brassicales; Brassicaceae. The record is from RNAcentral.
AAACUUCCAUAAACCAUAGUCUCAUUGACCGUCAAACUUCUUCACCUCAAAUUUACCUUGAGGUGGUUCCAAGACAAGACUUUAUUCUCUGCUAAAGCUGAACACCCAGACCAACAAGCUUUAAUUUCUUCAAACAACUCCAAAUGCUGAACAGAACCAGAAACCCCUGAACCUGUGUAGCCAAACACCAAUAGCAGAUUAGAAACUGAAACUGUAACCUUUCUCUGCCAAAGCUGAUGCUCUGAUACUAAUUGUUGAGAAUAAGUAGAUCCUUAACCGGUUUAUUCUAACUUGACUAAUUAACAUUAGCACACUUCUUGUUCUUGUUUGAGUUUGUUAAAGACACACAAGCUUUGGUGACCCAGUUCCCUGUCGGUACAUCUGAGGAGAAGACGGUAUUCUCAACGAUUCCCUAGUAUCAAGUGUAUACAAGAGCUUUCUUACACAACCACCUCUGAGUUUCUCUAUCUACAUAGAGACAACACGACAAUAAGCUGAGGGCUUAAGCUUACUGAACCUGUGUGUAUGGAGAUGAAAUCUACACUCUAAAGGGAAAGAAGUAGUCUGAGACUCUUGACCGGAUCCCCCUUUGCUUCUCCACUAUCUUUUGUAGAUGCUCCUUCAAUCUCUUCUUAGCUCUUGCUUCUUGCCUCUCUCUCUAAUCUCAGAUCUGUGUUCUUGAUGUUCUGAAUGUGUUUUUUUUUAAGGCAAGAGUUAGGUUUAGGGUAUAUAUAUAUAUUUUUUUUUUUGUUUUUUUUGUUUUUUUUUUUAUGAAACUCACUAACUAAUCUAGGGUCGAAAUUUAGAGAGAGAAAAAGUGAUAAAUAAUCUACACUAGGCGUUACCUUCCAGACCUGUCUGAAGAAUCCGAUCCCAUGUAUACCAAGCCCCAAGACAAGCGGUUAUGUCAGGUUUAGUGUUGGAAAUCAGCUUUGGUUAAUUCAUACGGUUCAAGGCAAGUGUGUAGUUGAUAGGUUGAUCUGCUUUAACAUCUUUAGUGCUAUCUGCAAUCAGUAAAUCUAAAAUAGUGCUAAAGAUUGGUUAGAUAUUCAAGUUUGAAUCAAUAUAAGAUUAUAGUCCUUAUUUUCAAUAGCUAAGCAUAAUUUAUUAAAAUUCCUUUUUAUAUGAGAAUAAAAUAGAUUAUAUCAGUAGAUCUCCCCCCAGACUUAAAUUACACUGUCCCAGUGUAACUCAGCCGGAGUUAUGAUGAAUAGUUUAUGAUGUACGAAAUGAAACAAGUAAGGAAGAUACAUCUGACCCGAUUAGAUAUCGAUCGAUGUGUAAGUGGUACAUCGAUCGUCGUGUGGUUGUCUAUGUCGAGCGAUUUCGACAUUUCGUCGUCGGUCGAUAUUCAAGUCCUCCUACUUGGGUCUCCUAAAUCUGAAAGAAAUAAAACGAAAGUAAAUAAUUGCUAGCUAAUAAAACCAAAAUAAAAUACCUAAUAGUGGGUUGCCUCCCACUCAGCGCUUGGUUAU